GACGAACGCUGGCGGCGUGGAUUAGGCAUGCAAGUCGAACGGUAUCAUCCUUUCGGGGGUGAGAGAGUGGCGAACUGGUGAGUAACACGUAGGUUAUCUACCCUCAAGACGGGGACAACCCAGGGAAACUUGGGCUAAUACCGGAUGUGAGCAACUUUUAGUUGUUUGAAAGGUGGCGUAAGCUGUCGCUUGGGGAUGAGCCUGCGUCCUAUUAGUUAGUUGGUGAGGUAACGGCUCACCUAGGCAAUGAUAGGUAGGCGGCCUUAACGGGUGGUCGCCCACACUGGGAUUGAGAUACGGCCCAGACUCCUACGGGAGCAGCAGUCGAGAAUAGUCUACAAUGGUCGGAAGACUGAUAGUGCGACGCCGGUGAACGAUGAAUCCCUUCGGGGUGUAAAGUUCUUUUAUAUGUGAGCAGUGCUUCUAUAUUAACAGUAUGGGGAAGAGAUAUUAGCAUAUGAAUAAGCAACGGCUAACUCCGUGCCAGCAGCCGCGGU
Molecule: ribosomal RNA, 497 nt
Filed under: uncultured bacterium
Lineage: Bacteria
Description: bacterial SSU rRNA
Rfam family: Bacterial small subunit ribosomal RNA
Source: RNAcentral